UGAAACCUAGUGAUAUACGUUUUAGUGGCGGACGGGUGAGUAACGCGUGGGUAACCUGCCGUAUUCUGGGGGACAACAGUUGGAAACGACUGCUAAUACCGCAUAAGACCACAGAGCCGCAUGGCUCAGGGGUAAAAACUCCGGUGGAAUACGAUGGACCCGCGUCUGAUUAGCUAGUUGGUGAGGUAACGGCCCACCAAGGCGACGAUCAGUAGCCGGCCUGAGAGGGUGAACGGCCACAUUGGGACUGAGACACGGCCCAAACUCCUACGGGAGGCAGCAGUGGGGAAUAUUGCACAAUGGGCGAAAGCCUGAUGCAGCGACGCCGCGUGAGUGAAGAAGUAUUUCGGUAUGUAAAGCUCUAUCAGCAGGGAAGAAAAUGACGGUACCUGACUAAGAAGCCCCGGCUAACUACGUGCCAGCAGCCGCGGUAAUACGUAGGGGGCAAGCGUUAUCCGGAUUUACUGGGUGUAAAGGGAGCGCAGACGGCUGAGUAAGUCUGAAGUGAAAGCCUGGGGCUCAACCCCGGAAUUGCUUUGGAAACUAUUUAGCUAGAGUGCAGGAGAGGUAAGUGGAAUUCCUAGUGUAGCGGUGAAAUGCGUAGAUAUUAGGAGGAACACCAGUGGCGAAGGCGGCUUACUGGACUGUAACUGACGUUGAGGCUCGAAAGCGUGGGGAGCAAACAGGAUUAGAUACCCUGGUAGUCCACGCUGUAAACGA
This 720-nucleotide ribosomal RNA is filed under the name uncultured rumen bacterium. RNAcentral describes it as "bacterial SSU rRNA". It matches the Rfam family "Bacterial small subunit ribosomal RNA", at positions 68 to 809 of the family's 1533-position model. The record is from RNAcentral.